CUCGCUGUAUAUAUAUUUGCCCGCUGUUGGCCCUUUGGUUUGGUAGCUGGACAUGCCCGCGUAAAUAUCCCAAGCAUGACACCCAAGUCUAGCAUCCCAAGCUUGCAUCCGUAACAAAUCAAGAACACACAUCUAGAAGUAAAUAUCACCAAAUGGUACAAAAAAGUACCUGAUUUGCUUUGCUUCCUCUAGCUAUCUUGGGAUCGAAAUUGAGACUUCUAAUGUGGUGCUGCACUCCUUGCUUCUUUGUGCCGUGGUGGACGGUUAGGGAGGGAAGCAUUUUUAUUGAACAUGGUCAGAUACAGAUUCAGAUAGCAUUAUUUUUCAUAGAUUAACUCGAAUACAAGU
This 348-nucleotide long non-coding RNA is filed under the name Setaria viridis. Its description in RNAcentral is "long non-coding RNA (SVIR_LNC001560)". Lineage: Eukaryota; Viridiplantae; Streptophyta; Magnoliopsida; Poales; Poaceae. The record is from RNAcentral.